This 1313-nucleotide long non-coding RNA is filed under the name Cricetulus griseus (Chinese hamster). RNAcentral describes it as "lncRNA (ENSCGRG00015040554.1)". Lineage: Eukaryota; Metazoa; Chordata; Mammalia; Rodentia; Cricetidae. The record is from RNAcentral.
CUUUGGUACUUGCUGGACAGACUGCUGCCACGCCGGCUGGCUAGGUCACUCUGUUCUCUCUCAACCAGAGGGUAGAGGAGCAAGACUGGAAUGGCUGCAGAUGAAACUGGCUGUUGUGUUGUGCCUCUAAGUCCCUCUUUGGGGUUUGGUGGCAGGAAGAGUCUGGGGGUCACAGCCAAUGAAGACCUGACUGACAACAAUCCCUGGACACCCUAGAAAGAAAAUGGGCCACACCUCCUCGACUGCACUGGAUCCAACUUGCUCCAUUUCAAUGGACACUCCGGCCAGAGGUUCGGGUACUGACUUCAAUCAAGUUGAGGAUUUCAAGCAAGAUCUUCAAUCAAGUGAAUCCCAUCUAACAUGGACUGGAUACAAUUCAUUCAAGACUUUCACUAUACUAACAUUUUCUUCCUACAGGACCUCACGUGACUAUCAUCGUCCCAUUUCAGCAGGAAGUAACUUGGAGGAUACUACGUGCCCUUUCCCCAUUGUUGUCACUUAGGAGAGUGUAUAUAACUAGUUAGGGAUAGCUUCCUAUUGUUUACUGUUGGGAUUGGAAGGAGGUGUUCAGGCUUGGAUACCUCUCUCAGAUGACUUUAGGGUUUAGUUAACAUAGAUAGUUAGGAUGUGACAUAAGCAGAUGUAAGGAGCCGUUACAAGCUAGUGCGCAUGUGCACUAGGUAACUUUGUAACUUUCCAGCCCUUGGUCUCCGCCCCUCCCGUGACGUCAUAUGGUCCGAUGAGAUUCAGCCAGUCAGAGAGUAACACUUCUGAGGUGGCAGUUGCCAGCCUAUAUAAGGGAUGGGUUUUUGGGAGUUUGGAGUCUCCGCUCUGUAAGCUUAUGCUCUCUCUCUCAAGACGCAUUAGAGCUUUACUGCAGAAGGAUCCUGAAGAGUGUUCCUGUGUCGUUUUUGCUGGCGAGAAGGUUAGCGCGGGACAUCUGGUGCCGAAACCCGGGAAAUUGACCUCAUCAUCGUCAGCACCAUCGGAGACCCCUUGGCUGCAAGGAGGAUUCAGAACUGCAGGGAGCUGUGUGAAAGAUCUGACUGGAAAGAAGAAAGUACCUAAUUGAUCUGAGACAUAAGAGCCUUAAUCCAGUAGCUGAUGGAAGCAGAAGAAGACAACCACAGCUAAACACUGAGCUAAACUCUGGAAACCAGUUGAAGAGUAGGAGUGAUGAGCAAAGUGGUCAAGACCAGACUGGAGAAACACACAGAAACAGCUGACCUGAACAAGAGGGAGCUCAUGGACCCCACACUGAUAGCUGGGAAAUCAGCAUAGGACUGUCAGUUUGAAGGUCUGGUUAAUCUAUG